UUAUACUCAUUCCCAUACCUUAAUUUUAUUCAUCUAAGACCACAACUAAACAUGUUCACAUCAUAUUCAAACCUUAAAACCGAACACAACGAUUUGUUCAAGCCAUUUUCGCAUGGCUAUAUAAUUUACAAAUCCAAAAUCAAACAUAACAUAUUCUAACUUAUACAUGCCAUAGUUCCAAACUUAUAAAAUACCGAAAGCGGUCGAUAGUGUGAUAAGCUUCUCUGACGAUCCCCGAACUCGUAGAUUGAAUUCAAAAUCUAUAAAAUAGAGACAAUUAUACACAGUAAGCUACCUUAACUUAGUAAGUCAUAAGCAGAUAAACACAUAAGAUAAUAUUAUCAACUUGAUUAAACCAAACCAGAAUUAUAUUAUCAUAACACAUGUAAAGCCAAACACGCAUAAACUCAUAUUCUAAGUAUAUAUAUAUAUAUUCAUUUGUAAAUGCCACUUUGGCCGAAAGCCUACAUAACCAUAUUAUCAUAUUGUCGUAUAAUUUCCAAAAUCGAAUAAUCAUUAUAGACCCAAUUCACAAUCCCAUAAGAUUCAUAAGCUCAUGCGUCACUAUAUAAUUUCAUAUCUUUAUAUUAGCUAUGUGGCCGGUUUUACACAAUCACACCUACAUAUAAUUAAGACUUAUUCAAUGGUAUCUACAUUGCCGAAUACCCUCAUAAUUACCUUAGCACAUUAUUAGCCAACUUUUCAAAAUCGGUUGGCAUAAAGAAAUUUAGUCCAUACGCACUCAUAUGCGUAAGCUAUUGUACCCAAAUAAUAUUUCAUAUACAUGUUAAUUAUGCAACUGAAUAUACAUAUGUCUAUACCAAAGUACUAUAUACUAUUAAAGCCAUGUUAUCAAAUACCUAAAGCUGAACCUUUAGCCAUUUGUUUACGCACGCUCAUGUAUCAAAUCUUUAUACCACAUAAUUGCACUUAACAUAUAUCCAGAUAUGUUUCACGAUUACUCACGUGGGCCGAGUACUCACAUGGUUCUUCUAACAUAUAUUGCUCAAUUUCCAAACUAAAUUAUCUUUAUCAUGACUAGUACCUAUACUCAUAUAUGCAUAAGUUCAUAACUCAAUGAAUAAUAAUCACACAUAUAUUUAUAGUAUGUGGCCGAACACAUACACAUGUAAAUAAAAUAUAUCCUUCACUUUCAAGGUCAAAUACCAUUAUAAAAACACAUAUAUUUAUACUUAUGAAUCACACUAUGAUAUCAUAUGCAUAUUUUUAGCAAAGGCCAAGUAUACAUCAGAAUUAUAUUUCUGUUCUUCUAAGGGAUCUGUAAACUCGCACACUCAGUGCCAAUUCCUUGUAACGUAUCGCACACUUAGUGCUGUUACAUUAACAUCUUGCACACUUAGUGCCACAAUCUUGUGACGUAUCGCACACUUAGUGUCGUUACCUUAAUAGGUUUAUUCCGUCGAAACGAAUUCGUAAUAUUUUGUAAUCACACUUUGUCACAUUCGGCUAUAAUUUAUAUAAAAUCAUAUUUUUCCAUUCAGCACAGAUACUUUGCAUUUAACUAAAAAUUAAGUACGUCAAUUUACUUACGAACUUACCUCGAUCGAUGAAAAAUGGAACGGGACUAAUCGAUAACUUUCGGUUUCCUCGAUCUAAACCCGACUUCUUUAGUUCUUGAUCUAAACAUAUUCAAAUUAAGCCCAUUCAAAUAUAUUUUCACUCAAUUUGAUCCAAACAAACACAAAUGGGCAAACUUUUACACUUUUUACAAUUUAGUCCAAUUUACGCAAAACACAAAAUAUUCAAAAUUUGACUUUACUAUGCUCAAGCCGAAUCUUUAUUAAGCUCAUACAAGUCCAUAAAAUUCAUUUGUUCACAUCUUAAUCCCUCUAACUAUUAUUUUUGCAAUUAAGUCCUAAUUACUCAAAAUCAUCAAAAAUUCCAAUAUAAAAUAUAUUGACCCAACACCUAUCUUUCAUAUUUCGCCAUCAAACAAUAAAAAUCAUAAUCUCUCAUCAAUGGCAUAACUCAAAAUAUUCAUCAAAAUUAAAAAUUUAAGUAUGGGUUUUGUAGUACUCGAAGCAACGAUCUCAGGAACGUAAAAACUAUCAAAAACCGACUAAAAACGAACCUUGAAUUUGAACUUGG
This 2109-nucleotide long non-coding RNA is filed under the name Gossypium barbadense (sea-island cotton). Its description in RNAcentral is "long non-coding RNA (GBAR_LNC000676)". Lineage: Eukaryota; Viridiplantae; Streptophyta; Magnoliopsida; Malvales; Malvaceae. The record is from RNAcentral.